This 253-nucleotide ribosomal RNA is filed under the name uncultured bacterium. RNAcentral's name for it is "partial 16S ribosomal RNA". It matches the Rfam family "Bacterial small subunit ribosomal RNA", at positions 524 to 776 of the family's 1533-position model. The record is from RNAcentral.
UACGGAGGGGGCUAGCGUUAUUCGGAAUUACUGGGCGUAAAGCGCACGUAGGCGGCUUUGUAAGUUAGAGGUGAAAGCCUGGAGCUUAACUCCAGAAUUGCCUUUAAGACUGCAUCGCUUGAAUCCAGGAGAGGUGAGUGGAAUUCCGAGUGUAGAGGUGAAAUUCGUAGAUAUUCGGAAGAACACCAGUGGCGAAGGCGGCUCUCUGGAACGCAACUGACGCUGAGACGCGAAAGCGUGGGGAGCAAACAGG